UUACUGAGUUUACGCUCUAUAACCCUUUGUGAACAUACCUAUAACUGUUGCUUCGGCGGGUAGGGUCUCCGUGACCCUCCCGGCCUCCCGCCCCCGGGCGGGUCGGCGCCCGCCGGAGGAUAACCAAACUCUGAUUUAACGACGUUUCUUCUGAGUGGUACAAGCAAAUAAUCAAAACUUUUAACAACGGAUCUCUUGGUUCUGGCAUCGAUGAAGAACGCAGCGAAAUGCGAUAAGUAAUGUGAAUUGCAGAAUUCAGUGAAUCAUCGAAUCUUUGAACGCACAUUGCGCCCGCCAGCAUUCUGGCGGGCAUGCCUGUUCGAGCGUCAUUUCAACCCUCAAGCUCUGCUUGGUGUUGGGGCCCUACAGCUGAUGUAGGCCCUCAAAGGUAGUGGCGGACCCUCCCGGAGCCUCCUUUGCGUAGUAACUUUACGUCUCGCACUGGGAUCCGGAGGGACUCUUGCCGUAAAACCCCCCAAUUUUCCAAAGGUUGACCUCGGAUCAGGU
Molecule: ribosomal RNA, 507 nt
Filed under: Colletotrichum gloeosporioides
Lineage: Eukaryota; Fungi; Ascomycota; Sordariomycetes; Glomerellales; Glomerellaceae
Description: eukaryotic LSU rRNA
Rfam family: 5.8S ribosomal RNA (bases 176-329)
Source: RNAcentral